Molecule: small nuclear RNA, 163 nt
Filed under: Echinops telfairi (small Madagascar hedgehog)
Lineage: Eukaryota; Metazoa; Chordata; Mammalia; Afrosoricida; Tenrecidae
Description: U1 spliceosomal RNA (ENSETEG00000022254.1)
Rfam family: U1 spliceosomal RNA
About the family: U1 is a small nuclear RNA (snRNA) component of the spliceosome (involved in pre-mRNA splicing). Its 5' end forms complementary base pairs with the 5' splice junction, thus defining the 5' donor site of an intron.
Source: RNAcentral
AUACUUACCUGGCAGGGAAGAUACCAUGAUCACGAAGGUGGUUUUCCCAGGGCGAGGCUUAUCCAUUGCACUCCGAAUGUGCUGACCCCUGCGAUUUCCCAAAUGUGGGAAACUCGACUGCAUAAUUUGUGGUAGUGGGGGACUGCGUUCGCGCUCUCCCCUG